This is a non-coding RNA of Rattus norvegicus (Norway rat), 634 nucleotides long. The record is from RefSeq and is a predicted model, not a curated record. NCBI's taxonomy places the organism in Eukaryota, Metazoa, Chordata, Mammalia, Rodentia, Muridae.
GUUCCACUUCCUGUUUCGGGUGACAUAUUGGGCUUAUCUGUUGUCAAGAUGUCCCAAGACAUUGGACUUCCUUGGGAACUAUAAGCUCACACAAACCCCUCCUUCUUUAGACGAAGUUUACUGCCUCUGCCCAGCCCGCAGCCACUGACGGGUCUCACUGAGUCAGCCCAUCUGACCACGCUGAGACCUUCUGGAAAACACAGCCGAGGAUCCUUCACUCACGCUCUCAGCUCCCUUUCUGCUCCUAGCCUCUAACCAGCAGAGGUCUCGGGCCAUCACACCAUGCCUCAGUCACUCCAUCUAUUCUUCAGUGGUACCCAGAGCAUGGCCCUCAGGCCUGGUCCUCCUCCCUCAGCCCAGGUUGCCUUAAUGCCUCUACUUAACUCCUCUUCACCUGGGUCUCAGUCCAAGGCACCAACUCAAAGAACCCUUGCCCACGGAGUGAGGAGGGUGUGGAGGCCUCCACGACACAGUGCUCUCCUUCACAUUGUACGGUUCUGAGUCUCAACUACUGUAAACAGGCAUGCAGCUAUCGCCACAAUCCAGUUUCGUUCUCUCCAGUGUCUAUGAAGAGAAAUCUACGUGGAGCCUCCUGUCUGGUUCUAUUCACUUAACACGAUGCAUUUGAGACUCA